UUGACAUACGCUGUGUAACCACUCCCUAAGGGUUACGUAACCGCUCGAAAGGAAUACCGGGAGGACACAUACAAGUCCCAACGAGCGCGGUCACUUCAACACUGACCCUCAGUGGCAGUCCGACGUUUAAGGAAACCCAGCUGCAGCACGUGCAACGCGCAGGAGAGCUUCACCCGGUCCCCGAAGAACACGGCGGCGCCCUCGGUCUGCGCGCGGAAGCCCGGCAGCUCUCGGUCGUACUGGAACCAGAACCAGCUGAACGUCUGGACCACGAAGGACGACAGGGCCAGGAGGCCGACCAGCACCCAGAACCAGAUGACGUCCCCGCGGCGGUAAAACUCCGCGGCCAACCACACGUCCGAGCCCCAGUCCACCAGGAAAGUGCACACUCCGAUCACAGAGAAGACGAAAUCGAUCCAGGAGUAUUUUGAAAAAGUCGCGCCCUCCAUGACAGUUUUGUGUUUGUUUGUUUUGUUUUGCCAGUUGACAAACCAACCGACCUGUUGCUGGUUAGCUAACCAUUCGGCUAACGUCCUGAACCGUUAUCUCCCCCUCACGGAGACAAAACCAUUGAAGAACGACGUUACACGACUUUUACACGUCAGCCUUGGGUUCCAACUCACAUAACGAAGGCGCGGCCAUGAAUUCAGGGAGAAAGAAGUGUAAAAUAAGCGACACAGCAGCUGGUGUUUCAGUAACGAUCCCCUCUGUUCGGAUAGUGGUUAGCCCCGCCCACCCGGUAUGUAUAGGUUGUUUAAACUUGUAAAGACCGCAGGGCUUGUUCGGUAAUAAACCUGGCGCGUUUAGUCAA
Pungitius pungitius (ninespine stickleback) is the source of this 811-nucleotide long non-coding RNA. RefSeq lists it as uncharacterized. The transcript is spliced from 2 exons. NCBI's taxonomy places the organism in Eukaryota, Metazoa, Chordata, Actinopteri, Perciformes, Gasterosteidae. The record is from RefSeq and is a predicted model, not a curated record.